RNAcentral lists this long non-coding RNA (1010 nucleotides) under Numida meleagris (helmeted guineafowl). Its description in RNAcentral is "lncRNA (ENSNMEG00000006391.1)". Lineage: Eukaryota; Metazoa; Chordata; Aves; Galliformes; Numididae. The record is from RNAcentral.
GGGGGGGCACAGCGUCCCCGUUGUGUCACCGUUGUGUCACCCGGCGGGCGAGCUGUCACCCGAACCCUGCCCAUUUGUCACCUCCAGGGUGCCCGUCUGUCACCUGAACUCAUCACUGUCACCAACAGCGUAAGAUGUCACCCCAGCUCUGUCCCUGUCACCUACAGGGCGCACAUUUGUCACCCGAACUCAUUGCUGUCACCUCCAGGGUGCACAUUUGUCACCCCAGCUCUGUCCCUGUCACCUCCAGGGUGCACAUUUGUCACCCCAACUCUGUCCCUGUCACCUACAGGGUGCCCAUUUGUCACCUGAACCCAUUGCUGUCACCAACAGCGUAAGAUGUCACCCCGACUCUGUCACCUCCAGGGCGCACAUUUGUCACCCGAACUCUGUCCCUGUCACCUACACGGUGUGCGCUUGUCACCCAUUUGUCACCUCCAGGGUGCCCAUUUGUCACCUGAACUCAUCGCUGUCACCUUCAGCAUGUCACCCCGACUCUGUCACCUCCAGGGUGCCCAUUUGUCACCUGAACUCAUCACUGUCACCUACAGCAUAAGAUGUCACCCCGACUCUGUCACCUCCAGGGCGCCCAUUUGUCACCCCAACUCUGUCCCUGUCACCUCCAGGGUGCCCAUUUGUCACCUGAACUCAUUGCUGUCACCUCCAGGGUGCACAUUUGUCACCUGAACUCAUCGCUGUCACCUACAGCGUAAGAUGUCACCCCGACUCUGUCACCUCCAGGGCGCCCAUUUGUCACCCGAACUCUGUCCCUGUCACCUCCAGGGUGCCCAUUUGUCACCUGAACUCAUUGCUGUCACCUCCAGGGUGCACAUUUGUCACCCGAACUCUGUCCCUGUCACCUACACGGUGUGCGCUUGUCACCCCAACUCUGUCCCUGUCACCUCCAGGCCAUGAAUUUGUCACCCAAACACCCGGGUGUCCCACACCGGGACCCCUCCACCCACCCCGACACUUCCUUUACCCUUUCAGGACCCUCCGAGGUCAACAUU